Molecule: ribosomal RNA, 451 nt
Filed under: uncultured bacterium
Lineage: Bacteria
Description: partial 16S ribosomal RNA
Rfam family: Bacterial small subunit ribosomal RNA
Source: RNAcentral
GUGGGGAAUAUUGGACAAUGGGGGGAACCCUGAUCCAGCCAUGCCGCGUGUGUGAAGAAGGCCUUUUGGUUGUAAAGCACUUUAAGCGAGGAGGAGGCUACCGAGAUUAAUACUCUUGGAUAGUGGACGUUACUCGCAGAAUAAGCACCGGCUAACUCUGUGCCAGCAGCCGCGGUAAUACAGAGGGUGCGAGCGUUAAUCGGAUUUACUGGGCGUAAAGCGUGCGUAGGCGGCUUUUUAAGUCGGAUGUGAAAUCCCCGAGCUUAACUUGGGAAUUGCAUUCGAUACUGGUUGGCUAGAGUAUGGGAGAGGAUGGUAGAAUUCCAGGUGUAGCGGUGAAAUGCGUAGAGAUCUGGAGGAAUACCGAUGGCGAAGGCAGCCAUCUGGCCUAAUACUGACACUGAGGUGCGAAAGCAUGGGGAGCAAACAGGAUUAGAUACCCCUGUAGUCC